ACGUAGGGGGCAAGCGUUAUCCGGAUUUACUGGGUGUAAAGGGAGCGUAGACGGAUGGACAAGUCUGAUGUGAAAGGCUGGGGCUCAACCCCGGGACUGCAUUGGAAACUGCCCGUCUUGAGUGCCGGAGAGGUAAGCGGAAUUCCUAGUGUAGCGGUGAAAUGCGUAGAUAUUAGGAGGAACACCAGUGGCGAAGGCGGCUUACUGGACGGUAACUGACGUUGAGGCUCGAAAGCGUGGGGAGCAAACAG
RNAcentral lists this ribosomal RNA (251 nucleotides) under uncultured bacterium. RNAcentral's name for it is "partial 16S ribosomal RNA". It matches the Rfam family "Bacterial small subunit ribosomal RNA", at positions 525 to 775 of the family's 1533-position model. RNAcentral also lists the same sequence under 1 other name. The record is from RNAcentral.